UAGGGAAUCUUCGGCAAUGGGGGGAACCCUGACCGAGCAACGCCGCGUGAGUGAAGAAGGUUUUCGUAUCGUAAAGCUCUGUUGUUAAGGAAGAACGAGUGUGAGAAUGGAAAGUUCAUACUGUGACGGUACUUAACCAGAAAGGGACGGCUAACUACGUGCCAGCAGCCGCGGUAAUACGUAGGUCCCGAGCGUUGUCCGGAUUUAUUGGGCGUAAAGCGAGCGCAGGCGGUUAGAUAAGUCUGAAGUUAAAGGCAGUGGCUCAACCAUUGUAGGCUUUGGAAACUGUUUAACUUGAGUGCAGAAGGGGAGAGUGGAAUUCCAUGUGUAGCGGUGAAAUGCGUGGAUAUAUGGAGGAACACCGGUGGCGAAAGCGGCUCUCUGGUCUGUAACUGACGCUGAGGCUCGAAAGCGUGGGGAGCGAACAGG
Molecule: ribosomal RNA, 429 nt
Filed under: Bacteroidota bacterium
Lineage: Bacteria; Pseudomonadati; Bacteroidota
Description: Bacteroidetes bacterium partial 16S ribosomal RNA
Rfam family: Bacterial small subunit ribosomal RNA
Source: RNAcentral